AGAGUUUGAUCAUGGCUCAGAUUGAACGCUGGCGGCAUGCCUAACACCUGCAAGUCGAACGGCAGCACUGGGAGCUUGCUCCCUGGUGGCGAGUGGCGGACGGGUGAGUAACGCGUAGGAAUCUGCCUCAUAGUGGGGGACAACUCGGGGAAACUCGAGCUAAUACCGCAUACUAUUCGAGAGAAGAAAGCAGGGGACCUUCGGGCCUUGCGCUAUGAGAUGAGCCUGCGUUGGAUUAGCUAGUUGGUAGGGUAAAGGCCUACCAAGGCGACGAUCCAUAACUGGUUUGAGAGGAUGACCAGUCACACUGGGACUGAGACACGGCCCAGACUCCUACGGGAGGCAGCAGUGGGGAAUAUUGGACAAUGGGGGAAACCCUGAUCCAGCAAUGCCGCGUGUGUGAAGAAGGCCUGAGGGUUGUAAAGCACUUUUAGUUGUGAGGAAAUGGUGAUUGUUAAUAGCGAUUAUUUUUGACGUUAGCAACAGAAAAAGCACCGGCUAACUCUGUGCCAGCAGCCGCGGUAAUACAGAGGGUGCAAGCGUUAAUCGGAUUGACUGGGCGUAAAGGGCGCGUAGGUGGUUAUUUAAGUUAGAUGUGAAAUCCCUGGGCUUAACCUAGGAACUGCAUUUAAUACUGGGUAACUAGAGUAUAGGAGAGGGCAGUGGAAUUUCCGGUGUAGCGGUGAAAUGCGUAGAUAUUAGAAAGAACACCGGUGGCGAAAGCGCUCUACUGGACCAUUACUGACACUGAGAGGCGAAAGCUAGGGUAGCAAAAGGGAUUAGAUACCCCUGUAGUCCUAGCCGUAAACGAUGGAUACUAGGUGUUGUGCAGUUCGUACAGUAUCUUAGCUAACGCGUUAAGUAUCCCGCCUGGGGAGUACGCUCGCAAGGGUGAAACUCAAAGGAAUUGACGGGGGCCCGCACAAGCGGUGGAGCAUGUGGUUUAAUUCGAUGCAACGCGAAGAACCUUACCAGGGCUUGACAUACUACAGAUCUUUUAGAGAUAAAAGAGUGCCUUCGGGAAUGUAGAUACAGGUGGUGCAUGGCUGUCGUCAGCUCGUGUCGUGAGAUGUUGGGUUAAGUCCCGCAACGAGCGCAACCCUCGUUUUUAGUUGCCAAUUUAUUGGGCUUUCUAGAGAGACUGCCGGUGACAAACCGGAGGAAGGUGAGGAUGACGUCAAGUCAGCAUGCCCCUUAUGUCCUGGGCCACACACGUGCUACAAUGGCGGAGACAAAGAGUCGCAAACCUGCGAAGGCUAGCUAAUCUCAUAAACUUCGUCUAAGUUCGGAUUGUAGGCUGCAACUCGCCUACAUGAAGUUGGAAUCGCUAGUAAUCGCUGGUCAGCUAUACAGCGGUGAAUUCGUUCCCGGGCCUUGUACACACCGCCCGUCACACCAUGGGAGCUGGUCAUACCCAAUACCGUUAGUCUAGCCAUUCGGAGGACAGCGCUUAAGGUAGGGCUAGUGACUGGGGUGAAGUCGUAAC
Molecule: ribosomal RNA, 1486 nt
Filed under: uncultured bacterium
Lineage: Bacteria
Description: partial 16S ribosomal RNA
Rfam family: Bacterial small subunit ribosomal RNA
Source: RNAcentral